UACGUAGGAUGCAAGCGUUGUCCGGAAUUAUUGGGCGUAAAGAGCGCGCAGGCGGUAUGACAAGUCAGAUGUGAAAGAGGCCGGCUUAACCGGCAAGGGUCAUUUGAAACUGUCAGACUAGAGUGCAGCAGAGGAUAGUUGAAUUCCCGGUGUAGUGGUGAAAUGCGUAGAUAUCGGGAGGAACACCAGUGGCGAAGGCGACUAUCUGGGCUGCAACUGACGCUGAGGCGCGAAGGCUAGGGUAGCAAACAGG
RNAcentral lists this ribosomal RNA (253 nucleotides) under uncultured bacterium. RNAcentral describes it as "partial 16S ribosomal RNA". It matches the Rfam family "Bacterial small subunit ribosomal RNA", at positions 524 to 776 of the family's 1533-position model. The record is from RNAcentral.